AGUGAACGCUGGCGGUAGGCCUAACACAUGCAAGUCGAACGGCAGCACAGUAAGAGCUUGCUCUUACGGGUGGCGAGUGGCGGACGGGUGAGGAAUACAUCGGAAUCUACUUUUUCGUGGGGGAUAACGUAGGGAAACUUACGCUAAUACCGCAUACGAUCUACGGGUGAAAGCAGUGGAUCUUCGGACCUUUCGCGAUUGAAUGAGCCGAUGUCGGAUUAGCUAGUUGGCGGGGUAAAGGCCCACCAAGGCGACGAUCCGUAGCUGGUCUGAGAGGAUGAUCAGCCACACUGGAACUGAGACACGGUCCAGACUCCUACGGGAGGCAGCAGUGGGGAAUAUUGGACAAUGGGCGCAAGCCUGAUCCAGCAAUACCGCGUGGGUGAAGAAGGCCUUCGGGUUGUAAAGCCCUUUUGUUGGGAAAGAAAAGCAGCAGGUUAAUACCCCGCUGUUCUGACGGUACCCAAAGAAUAAGCACCGGCUAACUUCGUG
RNAcentral lists this ribosomal RNA (492 nucleotides) under uncultured bacterium. RNAcentral describes it as "partial 16S ribosomal RNA". It matches the Rfam family "Bacterial small subunit ribosomal RNA", at positions 29 to 507 of the family's 1533-position model. The record is from RNAcentral.